AUACCUUUCUCGGCCUUUUGGCUAAGAUCAAGUGUAGUAUCUGUUCUUAUCAGUUUAAUAUCUGAUAUGUGGACCAUUGGUUCACACGAUAUUAAAUUUAUUUUUUCAGGGGGAAGUUCCGUCACAGUAGCUUGCUGCUGGGUUCUUCACGUGUCGCCUUAGCGUUGCACUAUUGCUUUGGCCUGGCACACCCCAC
Molecule: non-coding RNA, 196 nt
Organism: Daucus carota subsp. sativus
Lineage: Eukaryota; Viridiplantae; Streptophyta; Magnoliopsida; Apiales; Apiaceae
Source: Rfam